GCACAGGUGCUGCAUGGCUGUCGUCAGCUCGUGUCGUGAGAUGUUCGGUUAAGUCCGCUAACGAGCGCAACCCUCGCUGUGUGUUACAAGUGUCACACGGUACUGCCGGUCUUAAGCCGGAGGAAGGUGGGGAUGACAUCAAGUCAGCAUGGCCUUUAUGUCCUGGGCUACACACACGCUACAAUGGCCAACACAAUAGGUUGCUAAGCCGCGAGGUGGAGCCAAUCCUCAAAGUUGGUCUCAGUUCAGAUUGCAGGCUGCAACCCGCCUGCAUGAAGAUGGAGUUGCUAGUAACCGCAGGUCAGCUAUACUGCGGUGAAUACGUUCCCGGGGCUU
RNAcentral lists this ribosomal RNA (336 nucleotides) under uncultured Leptolinea sp. RNAcentral describes it as "bacterial SSU rRNA". It matches the Rfam family "Bacterial small subunit ribosomal RNA", at positions 1032 to 1382 of the family's 1533-position model. The record is from RNAcentral. Lineage: Bacteria; Bacillati; Chloroflexota; Anaerolineae; Anaerolineales; Anaerolineaceae.